RNAcentral lists this ribosomal RNA (484 nucleotides) under uncultured bacterium. RNAcentral describes it as "partial 16S ribosomal RNA". It matches the Rfam family "Bacterial small subunit ribosomal RNA", at positions 30 to 507 of the family's 1533-position model. The record is from RNAcentral.
AUUGAACGCUGGCGGCAGGCCUAACACAUGCAAGUCGAGCGGAUGAAGGGAGCUUGCUCCUGAAUUCAGCGGCGGACGGGUGAGUAAUGCCUAGGAAUCUGCCUGGUAGUGGGGGAUAACGUCCGGAAACGGGCGCUAAUACCGCAUACGUCCUGAGGGAGAAAGUGGGGGAUCUUCGGACCUCACGCUAUCAGAUGAGCCUAGGUCGGAUUAGCUAGUUGGUGGGGUAAAGGCCUACCAAGGCGACGAUCCGUAACUGGUCUGAGAGGAUGAUCAGUCACACUGGAACUGAGACACGGUCCAGACUCCUACGGGAGGCAGCAGUGGGGAAUAUUGGACAAUGGGCGAAAGCCUGAUCCAGCCAUGCCGCGUGUGUGAAGAAGGUCUUCGGAUUGUAUAGCACUUUAAGUUGGGAGGAAGGGCAGUAAGUUAAUACCUUGCUGUUUUGACGUUACCAACAGAAUAAGCACCGGCUAACUUCGUG